This 478-nucleotide ribosomal RNA is filed under the name uncultured bacterium. RNAcentral's name for it is "partial 16S ribosomal RNA". It matches the Rfam family "Bacterial small subunit ribosomal RNA", at positions 28 to 523 of the family's 1533-position model. The record is from RNAcentral.
GACGAACGCUGGCGGCGUGCUUAACACAUGCAAGUCGAGCGGUAAGGCCUUUCGGGGUACACGAGCGGGGAACGGGUGAGUAACACGUGGGUGAUCUGCCCUGCACUCUGGGAUAGGCCUGGGAAACUGGGUCUAAUACCGGAUAUGACUACAUGCUGCAUGGUGUGUGGUGGAAAGAUUUAUCGGUGCAGGAUGGGCCCGCGGCCUAUCAGCUUGUCGGUGGGGUAAUGGCCUACCAAGGCGACGACGGGUAGCCGACCUGAGAGGGUGACCGGCCACACUGGGACUGAGACACGGCCCAGACUCCUACGGGAGGCAGCAGUGGGGAAUAUUGCACAAUGGGCGGAAGCCUGAUGCAGCGACGCCGCGUGAGGGAUGAAGGCCUUCGGGUUGUAAACCUCUUUCAGCAGGGACGAAGCGUGAGUGACGGUACCUGCAGAAGAAGCACCGGCUAACUCUGUGCCAGCCGCCGCAGUAA